AUGGUGAUGACAGUCGAGCAAUGCCUGAAAUUUGGGCAGCCAUGGAUGUUGCGGAAGACACACAUAACAGAUGCAUUGUCACAAAGGCCAGGCCUACAAAGUCAAGUGCUAGCAAUUGUUGACAAGAGGUGGGAUCACCAGAUGGAGCAAAAGCUACAUGGGGCUGCAAUGUUUUUGAACCCCAGCAAGUUCUUUAAAAUGAAGGAGACUAACAAAAGACUAGCUACACGGCUGCGUUCAAUGUUCAAUGAUGUGCUAUGGAAGAUGGUGCCAGAUGAUGAACUACAAUCCAAGAUAAGUAAAUUGGCUGAUGAUUAUGAGAGGACGGAGGGUGAAUGUUUCACCAAGCAAAUGGCAAAUAAAGACCGCGAGAAAAAGAGUCCUCUACUUUGGUGGAAUGCAUAUGGUGGCCUUGCUUAUGACCUCCAAUCUUUUGCAAAUCAGAUCAUUAGUCUAUGUUGUUCAUCGUCUGGCUGUGAGCGCAAUUGGAGUGCAUUUUCUCAUAUCCAUACCAAAGGAAGAAACCGUUUGGAGUAUAAGAGAUUGAACAAGCUAGCAUAUGUCUCAUACAACCGGCAAAUGACAACUAGGUUUGAAAAGUUACGCGAGCAAGGUUCCAAAGGAAAGAGGGCUAAUGCACUUAUCCUAGAAGAAUUUCAAUGGGAUAAUGAAUGGGUUGAUGUUACUGCUGAAUUGGUUCAUCAAAAUGACGCUAUGGACGAUGACAAUCCACUACUUUGGUCCCAUGUUGAUCAGGCCGUUGGCGCGACCGAUGGUCUAAGUGGACGCCAUCUUCCAAGGAGGGCUCGUGGUGAUUUCAGUGAGUCUAGUCCUCCCGCUGGCUCUAAUAUCUUUUACACUCGAAGGACAAGUGUGGUUGUCCAUGAUGAAGACUUGCGGGCUGAAUUGGAAGCUGAAGAUAUUGAUAGUGACAUGGAGACCAAUGGUGAAGACAAUGAUGGCCCUACACGAGCAAAUGAUAUAGACCCUGAUUUUCAGCUGGAUAUAGAUCUGGAUUGA
RNAcentral lists this ribosomal RNA (1020 nucleotides) under Triticum aestivum (bread wheat). Its description in RNAcentral is "partial small subunit ribosomal RNA". Lineage: Eukaryota; Viridiplantae; Streptophyta; Magnoliopsida; Poales; Poaceae. The record is from RNAcentral.